RNAcentral lists this unclassified non-coding RNA (146 nucleotides) under soil metagenome. Its description in RNAcentral is "partial internal transcribed spacer 1". The record is from RNAcentral.
UAAUAAGUGUUUUAUGGCACUUUUUUAAAUCCAUAUCCACCUUGUGUGCAAUGUCGGUCGAUCUUCUUCAUGGAGAUCGACCAAACAUCAACCUUUAUCUUCUAACUCUUUGUCUGAAAAAUAUUAUGAAUAAACAAUUCAAAAUA